RNAcentral lists this long non-coding RNA (206 nucleotides) under Elaeis guineensis (African oil palm). RNAcentral describes it as "long non-coding RNA (EGUI_LNC049406)". Lineage: Eukaryota; Viridiplantae; Streptophyta; Magnoliopsida; Arecales; Arecaceae. The record is from RNAcentral.
GCCUGUGUCAAGGACUGCAAGUGGAUAUGUUAGAGGAUAGGUCUAUAAAGCUCAUUCUAAAAGAGUUUGGGAUACUACUUUUCUUCUGAAAGAAUCACAAUGUGAUUGUGACCCAUCAUGCUAUCUUCUUGAAAAAUUAUUUAUCCAAAAUGAAGUAGUGAGAGAAAAAUUAAGUUCGAAGAGAGUGUCUCUAAAGAGUAAUGAGU